This 429-nucleotide ribosomal RNA is filed under the name Bacteroidota bacterium. Its description in RNAcentral is "Bacteroidetes bacterium partial 16S ribosomal RNA". It matches the Rfam family "Bacterial small subunit ribosomal RNA", at positions 355 to 776 of the family's 1533-position model. The record is from RNAcentral. Lineage: Bacteria; Pseudomonadati; Bacteroidota.
UAGGGAAUCUUCGGCAAUGGGGGGAACCCUGACCGAGCAACGCCGCGUGAGUGAAGAAGGUUUUCGGAUCGUAAAGCUCUGUUGUUAAGGAAGAACGAGUGUGAGAAUGGAAAGUUCAUACUGUGACGGUACUUAACCAGAAAGGGACGGCUAACUACGUGCCAGCAGCCGCGGUAAUACGUAGGUCCCGAGCGUUGUCCGGAUUUAUUGGGCGUAUAGCGAGCGCAGGCGGUUAGAUAAGUCUGAAGUUAAAGGCAGUGGCUCAACCAUUGUAGGCUUUGGAAACUGUUUAACUUGAGUGCAGAAGGGGAGAGUGGAAUUCCAUGUGUAGCGGUGAAAUGCGUAGAUAUAUGGAGGAACACCGGUGGCGAAAGCGGCUCUCUGGUCUGUAACUGACGCUGAGGCUCGAAAGCGUGGGGAGCGAACAGG